RNAcentral lists this ribosomal RNA (501 nucleotides) under uncultured bacterium. RNAcentral describes it as "partial 16S ribosomal RNA". It matches the Rfam family "Bacterial small subunit ribosomal RNA", at positions 30 to 523 of the family's 1533-position model. The record is from RNAcentral.
AUUGAACGCUGGCGGCAGGCUUAACACAUGCAAGUCGAGCGGAGAUGAGGUGCUUGCACCUUAUCUUAGCGGCGGACGGGUGAGUAAUGCUUAGGAAUCUGCCUAUUAGUGGGGGACAACAUUCCGAAAGGAAUGCUAAUACCGCAUACGUCCUACGGGAGAGAGCAGGGGAUCUUCGGACCUUGCGCUAAUAGAUGAGCCUAAGUCGGAUUAGCUAGUUGGUGGGGUAAAGGCCUACCAAGGCGACGAUCUGUAGCGGGUCUGAGAGGAUGAUCCGCCACACUGGGACUGAGAAACGGCCCAGACUCCUACGGGAGGCAGCAGUGGGGAAUAUUGGACAAUGGGGGAAACCCUGAUCCAGCCAUGCCGCGUGUGUGAAGAAGGCCUUAUGGUUGUAAAGCACUUUAAGCGAGGAGGAGGCUACUGAGACUAAUACUCUUGGAUAGUGGACGUUACUCGCAGAAUAAGCACCGGCUAACUCUGUGCCAGCAGCCGCCGCCG